This 75-nucleotide transfer RNA is filed under the name Verrucomicrobiota bacterium. RNAcentral describes it as "Verrucomicrobia bacterium (marine metagenome) tRNA-Met". It matches the Rfam family "tRNA". Rfam says of the family: Transfer RNA (tRNA) molecules are approximately 80 nucleotides in length. The record is from RNAcentral. Lineage: Bacteria; Pseudomonadati; Verrucomicrobiota.
GCCAGAGUAGCUCAGUGGUAGAGCAGAGGACUCAUAAGCCUUUGGUCGGGUGUUCAAAUCACCCCUCUGGCACCA